GCUCCUGUAGCACAAUGGAUAGUGCAUCGGUCUCCGAAGCCGGUGAUGUGGGUUCGAUUCCCGCCGGGAGCACCA
RNAcentral lists this transfer RNA (75 nucleotides) under Cephaloticoccus capnophilus. RNAcentral's name for it is "tRNA-Arg". It matches the Rfam family "tRNA". From Rfam's summary of the family: Transfer RNA (tRNA) molecules are approximately 80 nucleotides in length. Their secondary structure includes four short double-helical elements and three loops (D, anti-codon, and T loops). Further hydrogen bonds mediate the characteristic L-shaped molecular structure. tRNAs have two regions of fundamental functional importance: the anti-codon, which is responsible for specific mRNA codon recognition, and the 3' end, to which the tRNAs corresponding amino acid is attached (by aminoacyl-tRNA synthetases). tRNAs cope with the degeneracy of the genetic code in two manners: having more than one tRNA (with a specific anti-codon) for a particular amino acid; and 'wobble' base-pairing, i.e. permitting non-standard base-pairing at the 3rd anti-codon position. Lineage: Bacteria; Pseudomonadati; Verrucomicrobiota; Opitutia; Opitutales; Opitutaceae. The record is from RNAcentral. RNAcentral also lists the same sequence under 2 other names.